CCUGUGCGUUCUGCUUGCACUGCACGUUACGACUGCAUCAGUUCGCCAUUGUUUGAUAAUAAGAUAAAAUUACCUGAGUUAAAGUUAGAAGAAUUCACAACGACGCCAUCUUGAUGUUUUCAAGUGGAGGUGACGUAUUUCCGGUUCGAGAGUGGAGCUCCACUCGCCCAUGGUCUGCAGCCAGACCCUUCUCGAUUAUUCCGCUGUUGUAGUGUUUAAGUGGAUAAAUUUACAAGAAAAUAGACAGAAGAUGAUACGGGAGAUCUGAAAGGAUGUUUAGCACCUCUUUGUGAUAAGCAGCAAUGAGGUUUGUUAACUGUUAAUUUUACUAUAAGGGUGUUUGUGUUGAUAUAUGUUUUCAUGUGCCAUUUUUUCUGAUGUAUAACAUAUAAAGUAUCUAGCUGUAAAUGGCUGAAUUGUAACACAAUAUGUUGAGACAUGCAUAUAGCAUUAUUUUGUUAAUUUGUUAAUUUUCUUUCUUCAAACCAGUUCUCACGGGUUGACCAACAUUAAAGCCCUGUAUUUUAACCAAGACCUCUUGCCUCAUGCCUGUCACUGGGGGAGCUACAGUGAGAACUCAUUUGCUCUGCAUGAGUAGACGAGGAAGACAGUACCAAAGAGCUGUGAUCCAUGGGCAAGAAGGGACAUCUCUACAUCCAAGAGUGUGCAUCUGCUCCUGACAUUUACACAUCUGCAUCAUCCAUAGAAAAAUCCAGUUCUCACGGGUUGACCAACAUUAAAGCCCUGUAUUUUAACCAAGACCUCUUGCCUCAUGCCUGUCACUGGGGGAGCUACACCCUAUAUGAUCUGGUAUCCACAUAAAAAUUAUCAUGAUUUUCAUAUUCUUAAAUCUAUACAGAUUCUUAAUGCAGAACACGAAUCUGUACAUAGUAUAACCUUUUUGAUUUGAGUCUCCUCUAUCCACUGUAGUGCUGUUGCUAUUGCCAUCAUCUCCACUGUGUAUACUGAUACAUGAUCUGUUGUUCUUCUACUUACAGAAAUCUUUAAGCAUGGAAUACUGAAAACAAAACCUGUUCUCCCUGUGUUAGGAUCUAAUACUGAUCUAAUCAGUGCAUACAUACUUUUCAUUGCAUCUCUGCUCGCUCCCCACUCUGAUCCUCUUAGACAUCUCAUCACAUUUAAAAUCUUUUUACAUUUAGUAUCAAUCUUUUGACUAUGUUCAUUCCAUAUUAAUUUUAAAUCAAUCCACACACCUGUGAACUUAAAAACUUUUACUUGUUCAAUAGUUUGUCCAUACAACUUUAUCAGUUCUCUCUUCACAGCAGUUCUUGUCCUGUGGCUGCACGAGAUAACAUUUUUAUGGCUGGAGGGAGGCACUUAAAUGUCCUGUAUGAACGCUUUCCUGUCACAUAUAACACACAUGCGCAUUAACUCCAUGGAAUGCUGCAGGUUUCAUUCCGAGCAAAUUUUGAAAACGGGGCAAUGGUCAAUAAUCUAACUCUGGCUGAUGGUUUAUUAAACAUCGGUUUAAGAAUGUGUUUAAAUGCAAUCAUUGUGUGAGACGUCAAAUCCAGUAUGAUUGUGUUUGUACUUAAAACGUCUUUAAAUGUUUACUCGGACUACACCGGACACACGAUGGAUGAAUAUUUUCAGCAGAUAUCGACGGCUGAUUGAGAAGAGAAGAGAAGCGACUUGAAAUUGUUUUAAAACUUUCCACAUUAUUUAUAAAUGUUGGUUUCGCUUUUAAACGCUUGAAGACUUAAGUUGAUGUCUGAAACCGAAAGUAUAAUAAACGGAACUAUAAGAAUAAUAUAAAUCCACUUACCAUCCAGAAUCAACAGAGAAAACAAUAUCAUCAUCUGCAUGAUUUCGUUGAACCGUGAAUGUAAUACGAAUGAUUUAUGGAGAUGAAUUACUAUUCUGCUGUUUCGCUGAUUCUCCAUUCCUUCAUCAGAAGCCGCUCCCACAUGGAGAAGAGUUUUGCGGCAGACUGCAAGAGAGGGGCGUACCUUAAAGUUGACAAUUGAUGGGAAGUUCUCGGAUCAUUUUACCGACUCCGACCUUUAAGUCUCGUUCAGCAAAAUUAACGAAUCGUUUUUCGAGUCAUUUCAUUCAUUUGAUCAAAUAUAAUUUAAAUAUUACCUUACUUCUCUAAUGUCUACUAGUACUUACGCAAAAGUUGAUCACACUACAAACAAUACAAAACUAUAAAGCUAUAAUAUACAGAUUCAUUAAUUCUUUACCUGGGUCUUCAGUCUAUGAUUAGGUCACCUCAUCUGUUGUCUGACAUCUCUUCAGGUUUGAGUUAACCUAUGCAGUCUUUUAAGCUUUGACCAUAGACUGGAGUUAUUACCUUUGUUACAACAUUCAGUGUAUAGAAAAUAACCAUCCUGAAAGAAAUUCAUAAACUAAGUAAAAAGCUACAAUUUGAGACCAGAAACGCAGUAACUGUAAGAGUAAAUAAUAAUUAAAUGAAUGAUAAUUAUGACUAUGAUAAUAAUUAUAAUGAAUAUGCACCCGUUUAUAAGGAAGCUUGUAAACUAAUUUCUCUAUCCAAUGUUGUCACGUCACAAAAAAACGAACGAUAGAUUAAAGCCUUUUAUACAGUGUUUUUAUUAUUAUUAUUAUUAUUAUUAUUAUUAUUAUAAAACAAUGCAAACAUUAAAACAUUAAGGCAGUACACUUAAAAUCAUAAAUACAAAAUAAAUAAUAAUAAUUAGAUAAAAAAGUUUGUCAAGACAAACUUUAAGUUGGCUUGAGAAAGCCUGACCAGAAAGUUUGAAAAGUUUGAAAAGUUUAAGAAGUUUAAAAAAGACAGUGAUUAACAUAUUGCUAGCAUAACAAGCAAGUGACUACCAUGACAUUAGCAUGAUUAGCAAAGUUACUAGCAUGUUGCUGGCAUGAUAAGCAAGUGACUAGCAUGUACUUAGCAUGAUUAGCAAGAUAUCUAGCAUGUCGCUAGCAUAAUUAGCAAGUGACUAGCCAUGUCGCUAGCAUGAUUAGGAAGUUACUAGCAUGUCUCUAGCAUGCUUCUAGCAUGAUUAGUAUGCGACUAACAAGUUGCUAGCAUGAUUACCAUGUUUUUAGCAUGAUUAACAUGUGACUAGCAUGUUUCUAGCAUGAUUAGCAUGUUGCUAGCAUGUCGCUAACAUAAUUAGCAAGUGACUAGCCAUGUUGCUAGCAUGAUUAGCAAGUUAGUAGCAUUCGACUAGCAUGAUUAACAUGUUGCUAGAAUGUUUAUAGGAUGAUUAGCAUGUGACUAGCAUGUUGCAAGCAUGAUUUUAGCAUGAUUAGCAUGUUGCUAGCAUGUUUCUUGCAUGAUUAGCAUGUUGCUAGCAUGUCGCUAGCAUGUUGCUAGCAUGUCGCUAGCAUGUCUCUAGCAUGAUUAUCAUGUUGCUAGCAUGUUUCUAACAUUAUUAGCAUGCGACUAGCAUGUUGCUAGCAUGUUUCUAGCAUGAUUAGCAUGUUGCUAGCAUGUUGCUAGCAUGUUUCUAGCAUGACUAGCAUGCUACUAGCAUGUUGCUAGCAUGAUUUUACCAUGAUUAGCAUGUUGCUAGCAUGUUUCUAGCAUGAUUAGAAUGUUUGCUAGCAUGUCUUUCUCAAGCCAACUUAAUAAUAAGUUUAAAUAGGAUUUCAGUAAGUUGGCUUUCUCAAGCCAACUUAAUAAUAUACACACAGAUUUGUUGCCAGGGUAACAUCUUGGUUGAUUAUGUAACCUUGGUUCCCUGA
RNAcentral lists this long non-coding RNA (3690 nucleotides) under Carassius auratus (goldfish). RNAcentral's name for it is "lncRNA (ENSCARG00000007215.1)". Lineage: Eukaryota; Metazoa; Chordata; Actinopteri; Cypriniformes; Cyprinidae. The record is from RNAcentral.